UGUGAGGCGGCGGCCGAGGCCUUUGGGGCGGCGCUGCUUUCCUGCCUACCUCGGGCCGAGGGGACGGAGCUGAAAGUACGGCAGCCCCCUUGGAUGUCUGAGAUUACGAGUUGCGUUUCUUUGCAAAUAUCGCAAAAAGAUGAAAGCUGUGAGCAGGCCGUUGGUGCUUCCCUGCCACCCUGGCUCACUCCCCAAGGUCUGACCGGGCAUGUGCCAGAUGUAACCUCCCCAGCUCUGAAGGUCCAUGUGUGUAAAACGUCCUCAGCAACUGUGUGUGCUGGGUGUGCAGCUGUGUGCUGGGCAGUGCACACCUCUCCUAUAAUGCCCUGUGGAAAUUGAGCUCCAUCUGCGGAAGAAUUCUGAGGUUGAAACGGUUCUGUUUUCUCUGGCAAUGAUUCAUCCGUCUGUAACUAGAGCAAAAAUUCCAGGCAGGUCCAGUGUAUCUCAUAUCCCCAGGAGAAAAUAAAGGAAGUAUGCAGUGUCAUCAUCCUUCCAGAAAGUCACUUCUCCCAGUUCGAAACCAGUGCGGCCAACUUUGCGUGAUGGCUCUCAGCAGUGCUCAGGGUUUUGGAGUGCUUUCCCAGCCCUCCCUGGUGCGAUCUGCUGUGCGAUGGAAGAACAGCACCCUCAAGAGUUGACGGCCGUGCUGCUCCAGGGCUCCACAGCACUGGGCAGGCACCCUUCCUCCUUUUGUUAACAAACACACUGGCACAUGUGGCCGAGGCAACGAGACAUAAACGUUUCUUUUGCCAUCACAUGUGAAGUGUUUGGCAUCGGUCGGUUUGGGUGUGGAAAUCUGUGCCUGUCCGAGGGAUGGCAGCUGCUGAGCGUGGCAUUUGCCUUAGGAGAAGAGGCAUUCAAAAAAGAAUUGCCUUAUUUAUUUAAGUCUGGGAAACUUGUUUUAUACCAUCUUAAAAGAAUUUGAACAGGAAUUAAUAUUUUUGUGCAAAAAGAGAUUAUUUAAAAGUACUUCACUGAGAUAAAAGGGGUCUAUGUAAAAAAUACUGAGCAAACCAGUCCUUAAAUUGUGGGGACUUGUUUGUUAAUUACAGUAAUUAGGAAUGGAAUCUGAUCCUAAACUUUCUGAUUUGCUUUGAAUUUCUCUUAAUGUGUGGUUAGACCUUAAUUUUCAAAACAAUUCGAAAAUGUGAGACUACAGAGGCAUCAGUAUUGUUGUUCGGUGUCAAACUGAGUUCCGUUCUCCUGCAGUGCGGGUCUUUCGCUGUCGGUGUGCAUGGCUGGUUCCUGCCCACUGCCUCCAGAGCACGAUGUGUCUGCAGGAAGCUCGGCAUGGCCAGCAUGAGCUAUUGGGCCAGCUGGGUCCUAUGGCAUCAGCAAGUCUGGGUCAGCAUCUGCCCCUCUCCUGCAAAUGGGUUUGCUGGGGCAGAGCCUGCAGGAUCCGCACAGCCAGAUGUGGCAGGGUUGCCCAGAGAGGUUGUGGAGUCUUUGUCUUCUUCCAUGGGGAUAUUCAAGACCCAUGGAUACCUACCUGUGUGACAUGCUUUACGGAACCUGUGUAGCAGCGGUUGGACUCCAUGAUCUCUUCAGGUCCCUCCCUGGCCUUUGGUUCUGUGAUUCUGUGAUUUCUGCCUAUGCUGAAGCAUUUCUGACACAGGAUAGGGGAUUUUCCUCUCUAUCAUAACUUCAGAGUUCUUCUUCCAAAUGGGUGCUUUGCUUGAUCAGGCAGCGCGUAUCCUUUCUACCCAAUGUUACGUGCUGAAACCAACGUAUAUCAUAAUUUCAGAAGACUCCAUAUAUGAAAAGCAGUUAGGAUUUUUCUUUUUUUUUCUUUUUUUUUUUCUGUUGACACUGAAAGGUGAAAGGUACAUUCACAGAAUCAUAGAAUCUGUGUUCUGUAUUCUUGAUGAACAUCUCCCACCAAACACGCUCUCCUGUAAGGACAGCUCAGUGCAGAAGGCUGUGCUGGCUGCUGGCCUUGUGCCUGCGUGGG
This is a non-coding RNA of Meleagris gallopavo (turkey), 1951 nucleotides long. NCBI's taxonomy places the organism in Eukaryota, Metazoa, Chordata, Aves, Galliformes, Phasianidae. The record is from RefSeq and is a predicted model, not a curated record.